This 291-nucleotide unclassified non-coding RNA is filed under the name Glomus sp. Its description in RNAcentral is "partial contains 5.8S ribosomal RNA and internal transcribed spacer 2". The stretch from base 1 to 65 matches the Rfam family "5.8S ribosomal RNA", at positions 84 to 154 of the family's 154-position model. Lineage: Eukaryota; Fungi; Glomeromycota; Glomeromycetes; Glomerales; Glomeraceae. The record is from RNAcentral.
GUGAAUCAUCAAAUCUUUGAACGCAAAUUGCACUCUCCUCGGAGAGUAUGACUGUUUGAGGGUCAGCCUAUAAAAAUUGACAUUGUUGCUGUUUCGCGGUGGUGUUUGUCGGAAAUUGGGUCAUCUUAAAUCCUUUUGAUUUAAGUGACUUAAAAUUUUCUUUUGGUUCCAUGAUCGUUUCUAAGAUCUAUUUCUUUACACGUUUAUGGUAUCGAUUUUUACUAGACGUGACUAUCAUAUCGGAUUGAGUUCAUAAUUUUUCAUUAACUGAACUUAGACUGGUAUGAGUAU